CUUAUACUACUUACAUGUAUCAAAACUGCACAGAAGAUGUGUAAAAGAAUUUUAAAAUACAACGAAACCAACGAUUCCAGACUAUAUACAUACUGUAGCACUCGGAGAAGAAAGCAAUACUGAACCGACAAGAGUUCCUUCAGGCUGUCCUGCUGUGGUCCCUAUUGACCCAUAGAACGGACAUCGCUACCCUGGUCUGGCGGAGGGUGGCUAAUCAGCUGUAUACAGGACUCGUCAGUGCAUUGAUUCUCCAGGAGAUGUCCUCCAUAGCCGCACUGAAGGACGAGGAGUUAGCGGUGCAGCUGACUGAACAUUCAAAGUAAUUU
Long non-coding RNA from Saccostrea cuccullata (small rock oyster), 326 nucleotides. RefSeq lists it as uncharacterized. Lineage: Eukaryota; Metazoa; Mollusca; Bivalvia; Ostreida; Ostreidae. The record is from RefSeq and is a predicted model, not a curated record. The transcript has 3 exons.